RNAcentral lists this ribosomal RNA (376 nucleotides) under uncultured bacterium. Its description in RNAcentral is "bacterial SSU rRNA". It matches the Rfam family "Bacterial small subunit ribosomal RNA", at positions 29 to 433 of the family's 1533-position model. The record is from RNAcentral.
AACGAACGCUGGCGGCAGGCCUAACACAUGCAAGUCGAACGCCCUAGCAAUAGGGAGUGGCAGACGGGUGAGUAACGCGUGGGAACCUUCCCUGUGGUGCGGAAUAACUCGCCGAAAGGCGUGCUAAUACCGCAUAAGCCCGCAAGGGGAAAGAUUUAUCGCCAUAGGAUGGGCCCGCGUAGGAUUAGCUAGUUGGUGAGGUAAUGGCUCACCAAGGCGACGAUCCUUAGCNGGUUUGGGAGAAUGACCAGCCACACUGGGACUGAGACACGGCCCAGACUCCUACGGGAGGCAGCAGUGGGGAAUCUUGGACAAUGGGCGCAAGCCUGAUCCAGCCAUGCCGCGUGAGUGACGAAGGCCUUCGGUUGUUAAGUAC